Molecule: ribosomal RNA, 1240 nt
Filed under: metagenome
Description: bacterial SSU rRNA
Rfam family: Bacterial small subunit ribosomal RNA
Source: RNAcentral
CGAUAUCAGAUUAGGUAGUUGGUGAGGUAAAGGCUCACCAAGCCGACGAUCUGUAGCUGGUCUGAGAGGACGACCAGCCACACUGGAACUGAGACACGGUCCAGACUCCUACGGGAGGCAGCAGUGGGGAAUUUUGGACAAUGGGCGCAAGCCUGAUCCAGCAAUGCCGCGUGCAGGAUGAAGGCCUUCGGGUUGUAAACUGCUUUUGUACGGAACGAAAAGGCUCUGGUUAAUACCUGGGGUUGAUGACGGUACCGUAAGAAUAAGCACCGGCUAACUACGUGCCAGCAGCCGCGGUAAUACGUAGGGUGCGAGCGUUAAUCGGAAUUACUGGGCGUAAAGCGUGCGCAGGCGGUAAUGCAAGACAGAUGUGAAAUCCCCGGGCUUAACCUGGGAACUGCAUUUGUGACUGCAUUGCUGGAGUGCGGCAGAGGGGGAUGGAAUUCCGCGUGUAGCAGUGAAAUGCGUAGAUAUGCGGAGGAACACCGAUGGCGAAGGCAAUCCCCUGGGCCUGCACUGACGCUCAUGCACGAAAGCGUGGGGAGCAAACAGGAUUAGAUACCCUGGUAGUCCACGCCCUAAACGAUGUCAACUGGUUGUUGGGUCUUCACUGACUCAGUAACGAAGCUAACGCGUGAAGUUGACCGCCUGGGGAGUACGGCCGCAAAGUUGAAACUCAAAGGAAUUGACGGGGACCCGCACAAGCGGUGGAUGAUGUGGUUUAAUUCGAUGCAACGCGAAAAACCUUACCCACCUUUGACAUGUAUGGAAUCCUUUAGAGAUAGAGGAGUGCUCGAAAGAGAGCCAUAACACAGGUGCUGCAUGGCUGUCGUCAGCUCGUGUCGUGAGAUGUUGGGUUAAGUCCCGCAACGAGCGCAACCCUUGUCAUUAGUUGCUACACUUAGUUGGGCACUCUAAUGAGACUGCCGGUGAUAAACCGGAGGAAGGUGGGGAUGACGUCAAGUCCUCAUGGCCCUUAUAGGUGGGGCUACACACGUCAUACAAUGGCUGGUACAAAGGGUUGCCAACCCGCGAGGGGGAGCUAAUCCCAUAAAACCAGUCGUAGUCCGGAUCGCAGUCUGCAACUCGACUGCGUGAAGUCGGAAUCGCUAGUAAUCGUGGAUCAGAAUGUCACGGUGAAUACGUUCCCGGGUCUUGUACACACCGCCCGUCACACCAUGGGAGCGGGUUCUGCCAGAAGUAGUUAGCCUAACCGCAAGGAGGGCGAUUACCACGGCAG